GAUGAACGCUGGCGGCGUGCCUAAUACAUGCAAGUCGAGCGAACGGACGAGAAGCUUGCUUCUCUGAUGUUAGCGGCGGACGGGUGAGUAACACGUGGAUAACCUACCUAUAAGACUGGGAUAACUUCGGGAAACCGGAGCUAAUACCGGAUAAUAUUUUGAACCGCAUGGUUCAAAAGUAAAAGACGGUCUUGCUGUCACUUAUAGAUGGAUCCGCGCUGCAUUAGCUAGUUGGUAAGGUAACGGCUUACCAAGGCAACGAUGCAUAGCCGACCUGAGAGGGUGAUCGGCCACACUGGAACUGAGACGCGGUCCAGACUCCUACGGGAGGCAGCAGUAGGGAAUCUUCCGCAAUGGGCGAAAGCCUGACGGAGCAACGCCGCGUGAGUGAUGAAGGUCUUCGGAUCGUAAAACUCUGUUAUUAGGGAAGAAUAUAUGUGUAAGUAACUGUGCACAUCUUGACGGUACCUAAUCAGAAAGCCACGGCUAACUACGUGCCAGCAGCCGCGGUAAUACGUAGGUGGCAAGCGUUAUCCGGAAUUAUUGGGCGUAAAGCGCGCGUAGGCGGUUUUUUAAGUCUGAUGUGAAAGCCCACGGCUCAACCGUGGAGGGUCAUUGGAAACUGGAAAACUUGAGUGCAGAAGAGGAAAGUGGAAUUCCAUGUGUAGCGGUGAAAUGCGCAGAGAUAUGGAGGAACACCAGUGGCGAAGGCGACUUUCUGGUCUGUAACUGACGCUGAUGUGCGAAAGCGUGGGGAUCAAACAGGAUUAGAUACCCUGGUAGUCCACGCCGUAAACGAUGAGUGCUAAGUGUUAGGGGGUUUCCGCCCCUUAGUGCUGCAGCUAACGCAUUAAGCACUCCGCCUGGGGAGUACGACCGCAAGGUUGAAACUCAAAGGAAUUGACGGGGACCCGCACAAGCGGUGGAGCAUGUGGUUUAAUUCGAAGCAACGCGAAGAACCUUACCAAAUCUUGACAUCCUUUGACAACUCUAGAGAUAGAGCCUUCCCCUUCGGGGGACAAAGUGACAGGUGGUGCAUGGUUGUCGUCAGCUCGUGUCGUGAGAUGUUGGGUUAAGUCCCGCAACGAGCGCAACCCUUAAGCUUAGUUGCCAUCAUUAAGUUGGGCACUCUAAGUUGACUGCCGGUGACAAACCGGAGGAAGGUGGGGAUGACGUCAAAUCAUCAUGCCCCUUAUGAUUUGGGCUACACACGUGCUACAAUGGACAAUACAAAGGGCAGCGAAACCGCGAGGUCAAGCAAAUCCCAUAAAGUUGUUCUCAGUUCGGAUUGUAGUCUGCAACUCGACUACAUGAAGCUGGAAUCGCUAGUAAUCGUAGAUCAGCAUGCUACGGUGAAUACGUUCCCGGGUCU
Molecule: ribosomal RNA, 1372 nt
Filed under: uncultured bacterium
Lineage: Bacteria
Description: bacterial SSU rRNA
Rfam family: Bacterial small subunit ribosomal RNA
Source: RNAcentral